Molecule: unclassified non-coding RNA, 160 nt
Filed under: uncultured Chalara
Lineage: Eukaryota; Fungi; Ascomycota; Leotiomycetes; Helotiales
Description: sequence contains ITS1
Source: RNAcentral
CAGAGAACAUCGCCUUUAUAGGUGACUCUCCAACCCUAUGUUUUAUAACCUUUGUUGCUUUGGCGAGCCGCCUCGGCCGCUGGCUUCGGCUAGCGAGUGCUCGCCAGAGGACCCCAAACUCUGAAUAUUAAUGUCGUCUGAAUACACUAUAUAAUAGUUA